This 413-nucleotide ribosomal RNA is filed under the name uncultured bacterium. RNAcentral describes it as "bacterial SSU rRNA". It matches the Rfam family "Bacterial small subunit ribosomal RNA", at positions 917 to 1333 of the family's 1533-position model. The record is from RNAcentral.
GGGCCCGCACAAGCGGUGGAGCAUGUGGUUUAAUUCGAUGAUACGCGAGGAACCUUACCAGGACUUAAAUGUAAGUUGCAUGAUUCAGAAAUGAAUCUUUCUUCGGACUACUUACAAGGUGCUGCAUGGUUGUCGUCAGCUCGUGCCGUGAGGUGUCAGGUUAAGUCCUAUAACGAGCGCAACCCCUAUCGUUAGUUGCCAUCAAGUAAAGUUGGGAACUCUAGCGAAACUGCCGGUGCAAACCGUGAGGAAGGUGGGGAUGACGUCAAAUCAUCACGGCCCUUACGUUCUGGGCUACACACGUGCUACAAUGGCCGGUACAGAAAGCAGCCACACCGCAAGGUGGAGCGAAUCCUUAAAACCGGUCUCAGUUCGGAUCGGGGUCUGCAACUCGGCCCCGUGAAGCUGGAAUC